Molecule: ribosomal RNA, 480 nt
Filed under: Thalassema sp. RG-2015-2
Lineage: Eukaryota; Metazoa; Annelida; Polychaeta; Echiuroidea; Thalassematidae
Description: partial 16S rRNA
Rfam family: Bacterial large subunit ribosomal RNA
Source: RNAcentral
UUCCUGGAGCUAAACCUAUUCUAGGUAUGCCCUGCCCCAUGACUCGUGCAGUUAAAUGGCCGCGGUAAAGCGUGCAAAGGUAGCAAAAUCAUUUGCCUCUUAAUUAGGGGCCGGUAUGAACGGGUCAACGUUUGAACACCUGUCUCUUUUGAUUUAUUAAAAACUAACCUUCAGGUGAAGAUGCCUGAAUUCUAAUAGAAGACAAGAAGACCCUGUCGUACUUAAUUCCCACAAAGCUAACAAAACUAACAAGAAUUUAGUUGGGGCGACUGUAGUAUUAAACACUUAUAAAAGCUUUCCGACCCACAGUUCUCAAAUGACCCUCAAAGAGAUCAUAGAAACAAGUAACCGCAGGGAUAACAGACUAAUCCCCUUCCCGAGUCCUUAUCUACAAGGGGGCUUGGCACCUCGAUGUUGGCUCAGGGACUCUAAUAGGUGCAGNAGCUUAUUAUAGAAGGUUUGUUCAACCUUUAAACCCCU